CAAGUCGAGCGAUGAAGCACCUUCGGGUGUGAAUUAGCGGCGAACGGGUGAGGAACACGUGAGAAAUCUGCCUUCAACUCUGGGAUAACUCCGGGAAACCGGGGCUAAUACCGGAUAUGAGCCUUGAUCGCAUGAUCGGGGCUGGAAAGUUUUUCGGUUGAAGAUGAUCUCGCGGCCUAUCAGCUUGUUGGUGAGGUAAUGGCUCACCAAGGCGACGACGGGUAGCCGGCCUGAGAGGGCGACCGGCCACACUGGGACUGAGACACGGCCCAGACUCCUACGGGAGGCAGCAGUGGGGAAUAUUGGGCAAUGGAGGAAACUCUGACCCAGCGACGCCGCGUGAGGGAUGAAGGCCUUCGGGUUGUAAACCUCUUUCAGUAGGGAAGAAGCGAAAGUGACGGUACCUACAGAAGAAGCACCGGCUAACUAUGUGCCAGCAGCCGCGGUAAUACAUAGGGUGCAAGCGUUGUCCGGAAUUAUUGGGCGUAAAGAGCUCGUAGGUGGUUCGAUACGUCGGAUGUGAAAAUCAGGGGCUCAACCCCUGACCUGCAUUCGAUACGGUCGAGCUAGAGUGUGGUAGGGGAGACUGGAAUUCCUGGUGUAGCGGUGGAAUGCGCAGAUAUCAGGAGGAACACCGAUGGCGAAGGCAGGUCUCUGGGCCAUUACUGACACUGAGGAGCGAAAGCGUGGGGAGCGAACAGGAUUAGAUACCCUGGUAGUCCACGCCGUAAACGGUGGGCGCUAGUUGUGCGAACCUUCCACGGUUUGUGCGACGCAGCUAACGCAUUUAAGCGCCCCGCCUGGGGAGUACGAUCGCAAGAUUAAAACUCAAAGGAAUUGACGG
This 844-nucleotide ribosomal RNA is filed under the name uncultured bacterium. RNAcentral describes it as "bacterial SSU rRNA". It matches the Rfam family "Bacterial small subunit ribosomal RNA", at positions 58 to 916 of the family's 1533-position model. The record is from RNAcentral.